CGUGGCGGACGGGUGAGUAACGCGUGGGUAACCUGCCUCAUACAGGGGGAUAACGAUUGGAAACGAUUGCUAAUACCGCAUAAGCGCACAGUACCACAUGGUACAGUGUGAAAAACUCCGGUGGUAUGAGAUGGACCCGCGUCUGAUUAGGUAGUUGGUGGGGUAACGGCCUGCCAAGCCGACGAUCAGUAGCCGACCUGAGAGGGUGACCGGCCACAUUGGGACUGAGACACGGCCCAA
RNAcentral lists this ribosomal RNA (240 nucleotides) under uncultured bacterium. Its description in RNAcentral is "partial 16S ribosomal RNA". It matches the Rfam family "Bacterial small subunit ribosomal RNA", at positions 94 to 334 of the family's 1533-position model. The record is from RNAcentral.